Molecule: ribosomal RNA, 460 nt
Filed under: uncultured bacterium
Lineage: Bacteria
Description: partial 16S ribosomal RNA
Rfam family: Bacterial small subunit ribosomal RNA
Source: RNAcentral
CCUACGGGAGGCAGCAGUGAGGAAUAUUGGUCAAUGGACGAGAGUCUGAACCAGCCCCGUCGCGUGCAUGAUGACGGCCCUAUGGGUUGUAAACUUCUUUUAUAUGGGAAUAAAUGGUUCCACGUGUGGGAUUUUGUCUGUACCACAUGAUUAAGGCUCGGCUAAUUCCGUGCAAGCAGCCGCGGUAAUACGGAGGAUCCGGGCGUUAUCGGGAUUUAUUGGGUUUAAAGGGUGCGUAGGGGGAUGGGUAAGUCUGUGGUGAAAGGUUGCGGCUUAACCGUGGAAUUGCAGUUGAAACUGGCGGUCUUGAGUGCGGUAGAGGUAGGCGGAAGUCGUGGUGUAGCGGUGAAAUGCUUAGAUAUCACGAAGAACUCCGAUUGCGAAGGCAGCUUACUGGACCGCAACUGACGCUGAGGCUCGAAAGUGUGGGUAUCAAACAGGAUUAGAUACCCCAGUAGUC